RNAcentral lists this ribosomal RNA (441 nucleotides) under uncultured bacterium. RNAcentral's name for it is "partial 16S ribosomal RNA". It matches the Rfam family "Bacterial small subunit ribosomal RNA", at positions 338 to 795 of the family's 1533-position model. The record is from RNAcentral.
CCUACGGGAGGCAGCAGUGGGGGAUAUUGCACAAUGGGGGAAACCCUGAUGCAGCGACGCCGCGUGGGUGAAGAAGUAUUUCGGUAUGUAAAGCCCUAUCAGCAGGGAAGAAAGAAGACGGUACCUGACUAAGAAGCCCCGGCUAACUACGUGCCAGCAGCCGCGGUAAUACGUAGGGGGCGAGCGUUAUCCGGAUUCACUGGGUGUAAAGGGAGCGUAGACGGCCGUGCAAGCCAGGAGUGAAAGCCCGGGGCCCAACCCCGGGACUGCUCUUGGAACUGUGCGGCUGGAGUGCGGGAGGGGCAGGCGGAAUUCCGGGUGUAGCGGUGAAAUGCGUAGAUAUCAGGAGGAACACCGGCGGCGAAGGCGGCCUGCUGGACCGCGACUGACGUUGAGGCUCGAAAGCGUGGGGAGCGAACAGGAUUAGAUACCCGAGUAGUC